CAGCAGCCGCGGUAAUACAGAGGGUGCGAGCGUUAAUCGGAUUUACUGGGCGUAAAGCGUGCGUAGGCGGCUAAUUGAGUCGGAUGUGAAAUCCCCGAGCUUAACUUGGGAAUUGCAUUCGAUACUGGUUAGCUAGAGUGUGGGAGAGGAUGGUAGAAUUCCAGGUGUAGCGGUGAAAUGCGUAGAGAUCUGGAGGAAUACCGAUGGCGAAGGCAGCCAUCUGGCCUAACACUGACGCUGAGGUACGAAAGCAUGGGGAGCAAACAGGAUUAGAGACCCCCGUAGUCCCUGUCUCUUAUAC
RNAcentral lists this ribosomal RNA (301 nucleotides) under uncultured bacterium. RNAcentral's name for it is "partial 16S ribosomal RNA". It matches the Rfam family "Bacterial small subunit ribosomal RNA", at positions 509 to 807 of the family's 1533-position model. The record is from RNAcentral.